CCUUGAAGGGUCGUUCGAGACCAGGACGUUGAUAGGUCAGGUGUGUAAGCGCAGUAAUGCGUUCAGCUAACUGAUACUAAUUGCCCGUAAGGCUUGAUCCUAUAACA
This 107-nucleotide ribosomal RNA is filed under the name Burkholderia cenocepacia. Its description in RNAcentral is "partial 23S ribosomal RNA". It matches the Rfam family "Bacterial large subunit ribosomal RNA", at positions 2825 to 2925 of the family's 2925-position model. RNAcentral also lists the same sequence under 3 other names. Lineage: Bacteria; Pseudomonadati; Pseudomonadota; Betaproteobacteria; Burkholderiales; Burkholderiaceae. The record is from RNAcentral.